AUUGAACGCUGGCGGCAUGCUUUAUACAUGCAAGUCGUGCGGCAGCGCGGGGGCAACUCUGGCGGCGAGCGGCGAACGGGUGAGUAAUACAUAGGAACGUAUCCUGAAAUGGGGGAUAGCUCGGCGAAAGCCGGAUUAAUACCGCAUACGCUCCACGGAGGAAAGCAGGGGAUCGCAAGACCUUGCGUUUCUGGAGCGGCCUAUGUCUGAUUAGCUAGUGGCGGGGUAAUAGCCCACCAAGGCGACGAUCAGUAGCUGGUCUGAGAGGAUGAUCAGCCACACUGGGACUGAGACACGGCCCAGACUCCUACGGGAGGCAGCAGUAGGGAAUUUUGGACAA
Molecule: ribosomal RNA, 340 nt
Filed under: uncultured bacterium
Lineage: Bacteria
Description: partial 16S ribosomal RNA
Rfam family: Bacterial small subunit ribosomal RNA
Source: RNAcentral